RNAcentral lists this ribosomal RNA (127 nucleotides) under Foraminifera sp. RNAcentral describes it as "partial small subunit ribosomal RNA". It matches the Rfam family "Eukaryotic small subunit ribosomal RNA", at positions 1712 to 1829 of the family's 1831-position model. The record is from RNAcentral. Lineage: Eukaryota; Foraminifera.
GAACUGGGAACGCAGCGCACUCUUUAUUGAGACCCUGCACACCUUCGGAAAUUUCAACGAACAGUGUGGUCUAAAGGAAAGAGAAGUCGUAACAAGGCAUCGGUAGGUGAACCUGCAGAAGGAUCAA